GACGAACGCUGGCGGCGUGCUUAACACAUGCAAGUCGAACGGAAAGGCCCUGCUUUUGUGGGGUGCUCGAGUGGCGAACGGGUGAGUAACACGUGAGUAACCUGCCCUUGACUUUGGGAUAACUUCAGGAAACUGGGGCUAAUACCGGAUAGGAGCUCCUGCUGCAUGGUGGGGGUUGGAAAGUUUCGGCGGUUGGGGAUGGACUCGCGGCUUAUCAGCUUGUUGGUGGGGUAGUGGCUUACCAAGGCUUUGACGGGUAGCCGGCCUGAGAGGGUGACCGGCCACAUUAGGACUGAAAUACGGCACAGACUCCUACGGGAGGCAACAGUGGGGAAUAUUGCACAAUGGGCGGAAGCCUGAUGCAGCAACGCCGCGUGCGGGAUGACGGCCUUCGGGUUGUAAACCGCUUUCGCCUGUGACGAAGCGUGAGUGGCGGUAAUGGGUAAAGAAGCACCGGCUAACUACGUG
This 468-nucleotide ribosomal RNA is filed under the name uncultured bacterium. RNAcentral's name for it is "partial 16S ribosomal RNA". It matches the Rfam family "Bacterial small subunit ribosomal RNA", at positions 28 to 507 of the family's 1533-position model. The record is from RNAcentral.